UAGUAUUUGUCCUUUCUAAUUCAUCUCUCUUAUUCAAUCCACCUCUCUCUCUCUACAUUUUCGCCGACAAGAAUCGUCAAACAAGGAAAGAAUAUGUAAAGGUGUUUUUGUCGUCUUUUUUUUGCACUUCAAAACUCCACCAGUAUUUAAUAAUCGCUAACCAAUACUACCAAUAAUAAUAUACCGUAACCAUUUACUAUCACCACUACCAUGACGACGACUAUCACCACCACCACUACUACUACUACUACUACUACUACUACUACUACUACUGCUGCUGCUGCCGUCAACACCAUUGCCAACUGUGCAAGCAAACUUUCAAACUAGUUGACAGUAAAGAAACUAUAUAUAUAAAAUAAAAAGAAGGCAAAUAAUGAAUGAAUGAAAGCGAAAUAGACAGAGAAAAGAAAGAAAGAAAGACGAAUUAACCUUCUCCGCCCUCAACACCAUAACAAAUCACUACUGUAAUUUAUCAUGAAGACAAUGGUUGCUAAGAUACGCCGCUUUUUGAAAAAACAAAAAGAAAGAGAAGGAAGAUAACCGAACUAAAAAAACAAAAACAAUAACAAUAAUAAUAAUAAUGAAAAAAUAACUUUAACAGAAAACCAAGCAACUUUGUUUUCCUGUCAAUUUUGUUCGGUUCAAUGAGAAGAAAUGCGGGUUGUUUUGUAAAGUGAGAGCCGGAUGUUACGAAUGGGCUGCGUGUACGUAAGAGGAAAAGUACUGCUGCUGAACCGACUACAAGUGCAUGAUAGGUACUCGAUUUAUGGACCCUCGGAACGAAUGCGAUGUCCAGUUCACAUCGGGCAGAAUCUGAAUGAAGCAAUUUAGGCCCGGCGGCACUUUGUCCUUUUUCUGUUACUUCGCAACCAACUACCCCCGUUUCUUACACUGGCUGGCACAGGCCACAACAUUUUUUUAUCGACCCUGGAAAGAUGAAAGCGAAAACCAAACCAGCCGGAUAUGAAACUCACAAACUAAAAUGAUAGGCAUUACUUCGUUUUGGUGCGUUUUCUUUAUCUACCUGUGUUUUUUAUAUCUGUCGAUCUAUUUCUUUCUAUAUUUUCUGAUGCAUACCAUUAAGUAAAUGGUUGAGGACUCGAACGUAGAAUACGUAAGUCCAUAAUUGGGAAGUAUUGACCGUACUACCAUCCCACCACAUCGAUCACCUACCUAGUCAUUUUUUUCUUUCGCAAAAAUAAUUCCAAAAGCAACCGGAAACCACUCUACUUUAAGAAAAUAAAGAACCUGGAUUAAAAAACGGAAAAAACUAAAACUAAAACUGAAAUAAAAGACAAAAAACAACGAACAAAAUUCAGCAACAA
This is a long non-coding RNA of Octopus bimaculoides (California two-spot octopus), 1325 nucleotides long. RefSeq lists it as uncharacterized. Lineage: Eukaryota; Metazoa; Mollusca; Cephalopoda; Octopoda; Octopodidae. The record is from RefSeq and is a predicted model, not a curated record.